CGCGGUGAAUAUGUUCCUGAGCCUUGUACACACCGCCCGUCAAGUCAUGGAAGCUGGGAGUACCCGAAGUCCGUUUAGCCAACCCGCAAGGGAGGUAGCGGCCGACGGUAAGCCCGGUGACUGGGACUAAGUCGUAACAAGGUAGCCGUAGGGGAACCUGCGGCUGGAUCACCUCCUUU
This 179-nucleotide ribosomal RNA is filed under the name Planctomycetota bacterium. RNAcentral's name for it is "Planctomycetes bacterium (groundwater metagenome) partial 16S ribosomal RNA". It matches the Rfam family "Bacterial small subunit ribosomal RNA", at positions 1358 to 1533 of the family's 1533-position model. Lineage: Bacteria; Pseudomonadati; Planctomycetota. The record is from RNAcentral.